UGCAUCGAUGAAGAACGCAGCGAAAUGCGAUAAGUAAUGUGAAUUGCAGAAUUCAGUGAAUCAUCGAAUCUUUGAACGCACCUUGCGCUCCUUGGUAUUCCGAGGAGCAUGCCUGUUUGAGUAACAAGAAACCCUCAAACCCAAGUUUGAUCUGUCUAUAUGACUGGUUUGACUUGGCAUAAUAAGUAUUUUGCUGAGGACAUCCUCUGGAUUUCGAUCCAUGCUUGAGUUUGGAUUUGGAUGUUUGCCGGUGAUGAACCGACUCAUCUUAAAAGUAUUAGCUUGGGAUGGCCAGGACCUNG
Molecule: ribosomal RNA, 302 nt
Filed under: Filobasidium magnum
Lineage: Eukaryota; Fungi; Basidiomycota; Tremellomycetes; Filobasidiales; Filobasidiaceae
Description: eukaryotic LSU rRNA
Rfam family: 5.8S ribosomal RNA (bases 1-126)
Source: RNAcentral